This 138-nucleotide ribosomal RNA is filed under the name uncultured eukaryote. RNAcentral describes it as "partial 18S ribosomal RNA". It matches the Rfam family "Eukaryotic small subunit ribosomal RNA", at positions 1299 to 1458 of the family's 1831-position model. The record is from RNAcentral.
UCGUGGGGUGACUUGUCUGCUUAAUUGCGAUAACGAGCGAGACCUUACUCUGCUAAAUAGCCAGGCCGGCUUUGGCCGGUCGCGGGCUUCUUAGAGGGACUGUCGGCGUCUAGCCGACGGAAGUUUGAGGCAAUAACA